AUCGUUGCGCAGAGGCGAAAUCGUAACCGAUGAGGUUUAUCCGAGGUGAGAUUAUUGCUAGUUGACUACAAAAACCAACGGCA
Small nuclear RNA from Leptinotarsa decemlineata (Colorado potato beetle), 83 nucleotides. The record is from RefSeq and is a predicted model, not a curated record. Lineage: Eukaryota; Metazoa; Arthropoda; Insecta; Coleoptera; Chrysomelidae.